This 537-nucleotide ribosomal RNA is filed under the name Trichoderma americanum. Its description in RNAcentral is "SSU rRNA". It matches the Rfam family "Bacterial small subunit ribosomal RNA", at positions 36 to 893 of the family's 1533-position model. The record is from RNAcentral. Lineage: Eukaryota; Fungi; Ascomycota; Sordariomycetes; Hypocreales; Hypocreaceae.
CUAACGGCUGAACUGGCAACUGGAGAAGUGGCAAGUCCUAUUUUGAUCGUAUCUUUGAAUAUGAUCUAUAGGAUUGUAUUAAAAUUGAAUAAAGCUUUGYUUAUAUAUUGAUAAUGACAGUAUAUAUAUCGUGUCUUGACUAAUUGCGUGCCAGCAGUCGCGGUAAUACGUAAGAGACUAGUGUUAUUCAUCUUAAUUAGGUUUAAAGGGUACCUAGACGGUCAAUAUAACUUCUAGAAUGUUAGUACUUGACUAGAGUUUUAUGUAAGAGGGCAGUACUUGAGGAGGAGAGAUSAAAUUCUAUGAUACCAAAGGGACUCGGUAAAGGCGAAGGCAGCCCUCUAUGCGAAAACUGACGUUAAAGGACGAAGGCACAGAGCACAAACAGGAUUAGAUACCCAAGUAGUCUUUGCAGUAAAUGAUGAAUGCCAUAGGUUAGAUUAAGAUUUAAUAUUUUAAUUUUAAAUUAAAUAUUAAACAUUAUUUGGUCUAUAAAUGAAAGUGUAAGCAUUUCACCUCAAGAGUAAUGUGGCAACG